Molecule: unclassified non-coding RNA, 263 nt
Filed under: plant metagenome
Description: partial contains small subunit ribosomal RNA, internal transcribed spacer 1, and 5.8S ribosomal RNA
Source: RNAcentral
UUUCCGUAGGUGAACCUGCGGAAGGAUCAUUAUUGUAUAACCGAGGUGCGAGGGCUGUCGCUGACCCGAAAGGUCGUGCACGCCCGAGUGCCCUCACACACAUCCACCUCACCCCUAUGUGCACCACCGCGUGGGUCCCCCUUUGGCUUGUUCGGAGGGGGGCUUACGUUUUCACACAAACUUUGUAUGCAGUGUAGAGUGUAUUUUUUGUUUUUGCGAUCACGCAAUCAAUACAACUUUCAACAACGGAUCUCUUGGCUCUC